RNAcentral lists this ribosomal RNA (422 nucleotides) under uncultured bacterium. Its description in RNAcentral is "bacterial SSU rRNA". It matches the Rfam family "Bacterial small subunit ribosomal RNA", at positions 8 to 455 of the family's 1533-position model. The record is from RNAcentral.
AGAGUUUGAUCAUGGCUCAGGAUGAACGCUGGCGGCGUGCCUAACACAUGCAAGUCGUGCGGUCGCUUUAGGCGACAGCGGCAAACGGGUGAGUAAUAAACAGGAAUCUACUCCUGACACAGCCAUAACUCUGCGAAAGUGGGGCUAAUAGCUGAUAGUCUCGCAAGAGUAAAGACUUUUGUCGGUCAGGAAGGAGCCUGUUUCCUAUCAGCUUGUUGGUGAGGUAAUGGCUCACCAAGGCAAUGACGGGUAGGGGGUCUGAGAGGAUGAUCCCCCACAAUGGGACUGAGACACGGCCCAUACUCCUACGGGAGGCAGCAGUUGGGAAUAUUGCGCAAUGGGCGAAAGCCUGACGCAGCGACGCCGCGUGGUCGAAGAAGCCCUUCGGGGUGUAAAGACCUUUUUUAGGGGAAGAUUANGAC